This 253-nucleotide ribosomal RNA is filed under the name uncultured bacterium. RNAcentral describes it as "partial 16S ribosomal RNA". It matches the Rfam family "Bacterial small subunit ribosomal RNA", at positions 524 to 776 of the family's 1533-position model. The record is from RNAcentral.
UACGAAGGGGGCUAGCGUUGCUCGGAAUCACUGGGCGUAAAGGGCGCGUAGGCGGCCAUUCAAGUCAGAGGUGAAAGCCCAAGGCUCAACCUUGGAACUGCCUUUGAUACUGUUUGGCUUGAGACCGGAAGAGGUUAGUGGAACUGCGAGUGUAGAGGUGAAAUUCGUAGAUAUUCGCAAGAACACCAGUGGCGAAGGCGGCUAACUGGUCCGGUUCUGACGCUGAGGCGCGAAAGCGUGGGGAGCAAACAGG